Molecule: ribosomal RNA, 301 nt
Filed under: uncultured bacterium
Lineage: Bacteria
Description: partial 16S ribosomal RNA
Rfam family: Bacterial small subunit ribosomal RNA
Source: RNAcentral
CAGUCGCCGCGGUAAUACGGAGGGUGCAAGCGUUAAUCGGAAUUACUGGGCGUAAAGCGCACGCAGGCGGUCUGACAAGUCAGAUGUGAAAUCCCCGGGCUUAACCUGGGAACUGCAUUUGAAACUGUCAGGCUGGAGUCUUGUAGAGGGGGGUGGAAUUCCAGGUGUAGCGGUGAAAUGCGUAGAGAUCUGGAGGAAUACCGGUGGCGAAGGCGGCCCCCUGGACAAAGACUGACGCUCAGGUGCGAAAGCGUGGGGAGCAAACAGGAUUAGAUACCCCCGUAGUCCUGUCUCUUUACAC